UGUUAUAAUCAUUGCGUCAUCCAGUUGCCAAACUGAUCAAUUGCAUCCUAAUGGAACGUUCAAGAUGUGAUUCAGUAAUUGAUACGGUAGUUGCAAUCAUUAGUUUUGACCAAUUUCUCGAUUGAUCAAAGCACCACAGGCUGCAUCGUUCGUCACCUCUGCCUUUAAGCGCGUUAUCACUUACUCCAAUAAGUAUUUGUUUUAUUAUCUUUCACACUUGUUUUCUUGGUUCUUAUUUUGUAUGGAAGUAAAUUUUAUUAUCAUGGC
Molecule: long non-coding RNA, 267 nt
Organism: Nilaparvata lugens (brown planthopper)
Lineage: Eukaryota; Metazoa; Arthropoda; Insecta; Hemiptera; Delphacidae
Exons: 3
Source: RefSeq, a predicted model, not a curated record